Molecule: ribosomal RNA, 253 nt
Filed under: uncultured bacterium
Lineage: Bacteria
Description: partial 16S ribosomal RNA
Rfam family: Bacterial small subunit ribosomal RNA
Source: RNAcentral
UACGUAGGGUGCAAGCGUUAUCCGGAAUUAUUGGGCGUAAAGAGCUCGUAGGCGGUUUGUCGCGUCUGCUGUGAAAACUGGAGGCUCAACCUCCAGCUUGCAGUGGGUACGGGCAAACUAGAGUGCGGUAGGGGAGAUUGGAAUUCCUGGUGUAGCGGUGGAAUGCGCAGAUAUCAGGAGGAACACCGAUGGCGAAGGCAGAUCUCUGGGCCGUAACUGACGCUGAGGAGCGAAAGCGUGGGGAGCGAACAGG